GCUGCGACACCACUUGCACUAGUCGUCCUGUGGGUAUGAGCUGGCCGCCGUAGCCAAAGCCGGCUCCAUUUACCACUUGCACCUGGCCAGAGAGCAGAUGUCAGAAUGCUGCUGGUCUUGUGACAGGGCUUAUAUCAGGACAUUUGCACCAAAAUUCAUAAGCCAGGCAGCUCUUCUGGUGUAUCAGAAAUGCACAAGAUCACUAAAUCAGCCAAAAGAGCGUGACAAGACAGGAUAUGAAGAUUCAACAGCUUCCUGAAGUCCUUGGGAGUCAAGGAUACAACACACCUGGGCUCUGCUGAACGGUGCUGAAACAACCAAGAACGCAAAGAGAAUGAUUGCGCCAUUGACCUGCGAGAAUACAAGGGCUUGUUUCAAGGCUUCAAAGGCAGCUUCCCAUGUACUUGCAGAACCAAGUCACGCGCCAGGCAAGUGCGACAUGUACCAGGGACAUCCAGGAGACUUCUACAAUCAAAAUUUGCGCAUUGCCAUCAUCCACACGCGAUCUUCAUGGAAGAUUAUUCACGGUGCUAGGGUCAAUUCAAAGGGUCAAAGGGCUGACCGAGCUUCUAUGAAUGCUCCGUGCUGAGCAGCUGCACUCGUUGCUUGUCAACAUUUCAGCUCACGCCCGCAAACUGUCCACCUUACAGAGCAAAGGUCCCGAAAGAGGGAGCAAGUCCUUGUGGGCACCCCUGACUCACAAGCUUGUCAGCUUGCGGCAGUAAGGAAUCUUGGCCGUUGCGUCACUCACGCGCUUCUCCCUCGGCUUUUAGUGGGUCAAGCUGUUACAGUGUAUGGUAACAAAGUGUUUAGGAUGCUGUGCCUGUUGU
Molecule: long non-coding RNA, 830 nt
Filed under: Coccomyxa subellipsoidea
Lineage: Eukaryota; Viridiplantae; Chlorophyta; Trebouxiophyceae; Coccomyxaceae
Description: long non-coding RNA (CSUB_LNC000020)
Source: RNAcentral